RNAcentral lists this ribosomal RNA (400 nucleotides) under uncultured bacterium. Its description in RNAcentral is "bacterial SSU rRNA". It matches the Rfam family "Bacterial small subunit ribosomal RNA", at positions 356 to 773 of the family's 1533-position model. The record is from RNAcentral.
GGGGAAUAUUGCACAAUGGGGGAAACCCUGAUGCAGCGACGCCGCGUGAGUGAAGAAGUACUUCGGUAUGUAAAGCUCUAUCAGCAGGGAAGAAAAUGACGGUACCUGACUAAGAAGCCCCGGCUAACUACGUGCCAGCAGCCGCGGUAAUACGUAGGGGGCAAGCGUUAUCCGGAUUUACUGGGUGUAAAGGGAGCGUAGGUGGUUUGGUAAGUCAGGUGUGAAAGCCCGGGGCUCAACUCCGGGAUUGCACUUGAAACUAUCAAACUAGAGUGCAGGAGAGGUAAGUGGAAUUCCUAGUGUAGCGGUGAAAUGCGUAGAUAUUAGGAGGAACACCAGUGGCGAAGGCGGCUUACUGGACUGUAACUGACACUGAGGCUCGAAAGCGUGGGGAGCAAAC